GCAUAUCAAUAAGCGGAGGAAAAGAAACCAACAGGGAUUGCCCUAGUAACGGCGAGUGAAGCGGCAACAGCUCAAAUUUGAAAUCUGGCGCAAGCCCGAGUUGUAAUUUGUAGAGGAUGCUUCGGGGCAGCGGCCGGUCUAAGUCCCUUGGAACAGGGCGUCAUAGAGGGUGAGAAUCCCGUAUGCGACCGGCUGGCACCCCACACGUAGCUCCUUCGACGAGUCGAGUUGUUUGGGAAUGCAGCUCUAAAUGGGAGGUAAAUUUCUUCUAAAGCUAAACACCGGCCAGAGACCGAUAGCGCACAAGUAGAGUGAUCGAAAGAUGAAAAGCACUUUGGAAAGAGAGUUAAACAGCACGUGAAAUUGUUGAAAGGGAAGCGCAUGCUACCAGACUUGCCGGCGGCGUUCACCCGGUCUUCUGACCGGGCCACUCGUCGUCGGCAGGCCAGCAUCACUUGGGGCCGCCGCAGAAAGGCGGAGGGAAUGUAGCUCUUCGGAGUGUUAUAGCCCCUCGCACAAUUCGGCGCGCCCCGGGUGAGGUCCGCGCUUCGGCUAGGAUGCUGGCGUAAUGGUCGUAUGCGGCCCGUCUUGAAACACGGACCAAGGAGUCUACCAUCUAUGCGAGUGUUCGGGUGUCAAACCCCUACGCGCAAUGAAAGUGAACGGAGGUGGGAACCUUUACCGGUGCACCAUCGACCGAUCCUGAUGUCUUCGGAUGGAUUUGAGUAAGAGCAUAGCUGGUGGGACCCGAAAGAUGGUGAACUAUGCCUGAAUAGGGUGAAGCCAGAGGAAACUCUGGUGGAGGCUCGCAGCGGUUCUGACGUGCAAAUCGAUCGUCAAAUUUGGGUAUAGGGGCGAAAGACUAAUCGAACCAUCUAGUAGCUGGUUCCUGCCGAA
RNAcentral lists this ribosomal RNA (897 nucleotides) under Capnobotryella renispora. Its description in RNAcentral is "LSU rRNA". It matches the Rfam family "Eukaryotic large subunit ribosomal RNA", at positions 38 to 965 of the family's 3401-position model. Lineage: Eukaryota; Fungi; Ascomycota; Dothideomycetes; Mycosphaerellales; Teratosphaeriaceae. The record is from RNAcentral.